UACAGAGGUCCCAAGCGUUGUUCGGAUUCACUGGGCGUAAAGGGUGCGUAGGUGGUGAGGUAAGUCGGAUGUGAAAGCUCGGAGCUCAACUCCGAAAUGGCAUUGGAAACUACCUUGCUCGAGGGUUGGAGGGGGACUGGAAUACUUGGUGUAGCAGUGAAAUGCGUAGAUAUCAAGUGGAACACCAGUGGCGAAGGCGAGUCCCUGGACAACUCCUGACACUGAGGCACGAAAGCGUGGGGAGCAAACAG
This 251-nucleotide ribosomal RNA is filed under the name uncultured bacterium. Its description in RNAcentral is "partial 16S ribosomal RNA". It matches the Rfam family "Bacterial small subunit ribosomal RNA", at positions 524 to 775 of the family's 1533-position model. The record is from RNAcentral.